AAAGUCGUAACAAGGUAACCGUAGGUGAACCUGCGGUUGGAUCAUUAUAAAAUAAUGGUUCUCUAGGUUGAGUUUUAAAUCUUUUUUAAGGUUUUAAAAUUCCUUGGAGAAUUCCAAUCAACCCUUUGUGCACUGUAAAUGUUUUUUAGAGUACUUUUUAAAAGUGCUCGACAAUAUUUAAAACCCCAUUUUUUAAUUUUGUCUGAAUUUUUUAUGAAAAUAAAAAAAAUACAACUUUUGACAACGGAUCUCUUGGCUCUC
This 261-nucleotide unclassified non-coding RNA is filed under the name Chytridiomycota sp. Its description in RNAcentral is "partial contains small subunit ribosomal RNA, internal transcribed spacer 1, and 5.8S ribosomal RNA". The stretch from base 1 to 47 matches the Rfam family "Eukaryotic small subunit ribosomal RNA", at positions 1785 to 1831 of the family's 1831-position model. The record is from RNAcentral. Lineage: Eukaryota; Fungi; Chytridiomycota.